GUUUGAGGCCGGGUUGGGGGUGUGCGAUUGUGUGGGACGGUCUGGGGCAGCCCAGCAGCGGCUGACCCUCUGCCUGCGGGGAAGGGAGUCGCCAGGCGGCCGUCAUGGCGGUGUCGGAGAGCCAGCUCAAGAAAAUGGUGUCCAAGUUAUAGAAGACAUAUGGGAAGCCAUAGAAGAUUGUGACCCAGUACAAAUACAGAGACCUAACUGUACGUGAAACUGUCAAUGUUAUUACUCUAUACAAAGAUCUCAAACCUGUUUUGGAUUCAUAUGUUUUUAACGAUGGCAGUUCCAGGGAACUAAUGAACCUCACUGGAACAAUCCCUGUGCCUUAUAGAGGUAAUACAUACAAUAUUCCAAUAUGCCUAUGGCUACUGGACACAUACCCAUAUAAUCCCCCUAUCUGUUUUGUUAAGCCUACUAGUUCAAUGACUAUUAAAACAGGAAAGCAUGUUGAUGCAAAUGGGAAGAUAUAUCUUCCUUAUCUACAUGAAUGGAAACACCCACAGUCAGACUUGUUGGGGCUUAUUCAGGUCAUGAUUGUGGUAUUUGGAGAUGAACCUCCAGUCUUCUCUCGUCCUAUUUCGGCAUCCUAUCCGCCAUACCAGGCAACGGGGCCACCAAAUACUUCCUACAUGCCAGGCAUGCCAGGUGGAAUCUCUCCAUACCCAUCCGGAUACCCUCC
This 685-nucleotide long non-coding RNA is filed under the name Homo sapiens (human). RNAcentral's name for it is "non-protein coding lnc-UEVLD-6:1". Lineage: Eukaryota; Metazoa; Chordata; Mammalia; Primates; Hominidae. The record is from RNAcentral.